RNAcentral lists this transfer-messenger RNA (270 nucleotides) under Acidibacillus sp. RNAcentral's name for it is "partial transfer-messenger RNA". It matches the Rfam family "transfer-messenger RNA", at positions 1 to 262 of the family's 374-position model. Rfam says of the family: Bacterial tmRNA, also known as 10Sa RNA or SsrA, is named for its dual tRNA and mRNA-like properties. Its role is to liberate the mRNA from a stalled ribosome. Lineage: Bacteria; Bacillati; Bacillota; Bacilli; Caryophanales; Alicyclobacillaceae. The record is from RNAcentral.
GGGGGCGUUCUGGAUUCGACGGGGAUUGUUCGGGCAUGAUCGGCGGGCCGUGGGGCUGCGCCCACGUAAAAAACGCGAACUUAAAUACAAACGCAAAAACACAACGUAACAACUUCAGAAGCAGUAACCUCGCUUUAGCUGCCUAAUAAGCAGUAAGCGACGUCUUUACGCCUUUCUCCCAUGAUUGCGUAAAGGCGCUACCUUAGUGGGAUAGCUGGAGCAGGUGCCUGUGGGCUCUUAGCGAACUACAUUGCAGGCUAGCCACCUGAU